UACGGGGGGAGCAAGCGUUGUUCGGAUUUACUGGGCGUAAAGGGCGCGUAGGCGGCCAGCACAAGUCAGUUGUGAAAUCUCCGAGCUUAACCCGGAAAGGUCAACUGAUACUGUGCGGCUAGAGUGCGGAAGGGGCAACUGGAAUUCUUGGUGUAGCGGUGAAAUGCGUAGAUAUCAAGAGGAACACCUGCGGCGAAGGCGGGUGCUGGGCCGACACUGACGCUGAGGCGCGAAAGCGUGGGGAGCGAACAGG
Molecule: ribosomal RNA, 253 nt
Filed under: uncultured bacterium
Lineage: Bacteria
Description: partial 16S ribosomal RNA
Rfam family: Bacterial small subunit ribosomal RNA
Source: RNAcentral